UGUAGUCAUAUGCUUGUCUCAAAGAUUAAGCCAUGCAUGUCUAAGUAUAAACUGCUUUAUACUGUGAAACUGCGAAUGGCUCAUUAAAUCAGUUAUAGUUUAUUUGAUAGUACCCUACUACAUGGAUAACCGUGGUAAUUCUAGAGCUAAUACAUGCUAAAAAUCCCGACUUCGGAAGGGAUGUAUUUAUUAGAUUAAAAACCAAUGCCCUUCGGGGCUUCCUGGUGAUUCAUAAUAACUUCUCGAAUCGCACGGCCUUGCGCCGGCGAUGGUUCAUUCAAAUUUCUGCCCUAUCAACUUUCGACGGCUGGGUCUUGGCCAGCCGUGGUGACAACGGGUAACGGAGGGUUAGGGCUCGACCCCGGAGAAGGAGCCUGAGAAACGGCUACUACAUCCAAGGAAGGCAGCAGGCGCGCAAAUUACCCAAUCCCGACACGGGGAGGUAGUGACAAUAAAUACUGAUACAGGGCUCUUUUGGGUCUUGUAAUUGGAAUGAGUACAAUUUAAAUCCCUUAACGAGGAACAAUUGGAGGGCAAGUCUGGUAAUCG
This 549-nucleotide ribosomal RNA is filed under the name uncultured eukaryote. Its description in RNAcentral is "SSU rRNA". It matches the Rfam family "Eukaryotic small subunit ribosomal RNA", at positions 21 to 570 of the family's 1831-position model. The record is from RNAcentral.